Molecule: ribosomal RNA, 460 nt
Filed under: uncultured bacterium
Lineage: Bacteria
Description: partial 16S ribosomal RNA
Rfam family: Bacterial small subunit ribosomal RNA
Source: RNAcentral
CCUACGGGGGGCAGCAGUGAGGAAUAUUGGUCAAUGGACGAGAGUCUGAACCAGCCAAGUAGCGUGAAGGAUGACUGCCCUAUGGGUUGUAAACUUCUUUUAUAUGGGAAUAAAAUGUUCCACGUGUGGGAUUUUGUAUGUACCAUAUGAAUAAGGAUCGGCUAACUCCGUGCCAGCAGCCGCGGUAAUACGGAGGAUCCGAGCGUUAUCCGGAUUUAUUGGGUUUAAAGGGAGCGUAGGUUGAUUGUUAAGUCAGUUGUGAAAGUUUGCGGCGCAACCGUAAAAUUGCAGUUGAAACUGGCAGUCUUGAGUACAGUAGAGGUGGGCGGAAUUCGUGGUGUAGCGGUGAAAUGCUUAGAUAUCACGAAGAACUCCGAUUGCGAAGGCAGUUCACUGGACUGCAACUGACACUGAGGCUCGAAAGUGUGGGUAUCAAACAGGAUUAGAUACCCCGGUAGUC